Molecule: ribosomal RNA, 253 nt
Filed under: uncultured bacterium
Lineage: Bacteria
Description: partial 16S ribosomal RNA
Rfam family: Bacterial small subunit ribosomal RNA
Source: RNAcentral
CACGUAGGCACCAAGCGUUGUCCGGAUUUAUUGGGCGUAAAGAGCUCGUAGGCGGUUCGGUAAGUCCGCUGUGAAAGUCGGGGGCUUAACCCUCGGAUGCCGGUGGAUACUGUCGGGCUUGAGUACGGAAGAGGCGAGUGGAAUUCCUGGUGUAGCGGUGAAAUGCGCAGAUAUCAGGAGGAACACCAAUUGCGAAGGCAGCUCGCUGGGACGUUACUGACGCUGAGACGCGAAAGCGUGGGGAGCAAACAGG